This is a long non-coding RNA of Gorilla gorilla gorilla (western lowland gorilla), 3780 nucleotides long. RefSeq lists it as uncharacterized. Lineage: Eukaryota; Metazoa; Chordata; Mammalia; Primates; Hominidae. The record is from RefSeq and is a predicted model, not a curated record. The transcript is spliced from 7 exons.
AUAUAAGACGUGCCUUGCUUCCCCUUCACCUUCUGCCAUGAUUGUGAGUUUCCUGAGGCUUCCCAAGCCAUGCAGAACUCCACAUUCGGCUAUGCUUUGUGGACUGGAUGUGGAGUAUAAGGAAAAGGGUGGAGUUAAAGAUGAGUACAAAGUUUUUACCUGUAGAAACUGAAGAAUGGUGUUGUCAUUUCUAACCCCGGGCAUACUCUAAGACUGUGUUUGGAGGAAAGUCUCAGAAGCUUGCAGACUCAUUAGACAAGCAUUUGUUGACCAUCAUAUUUGAAGGUCUGUGCUACUCAGAGAAAACUGGAGGAAAAAAACGACAGUUUGAGGCACUUCUCUAUGCUCCUAAAGAGGUGAAAGAAACAGAGGAUUAGAGAAUAGAAGUAAUUGGUUGAAUGUCACGUGUCAAGUAAGAAAAAUAUGUAAGCUGAGCCGUUAAUGAUUAUACUAUCCUGCAUCUCUCUAAUGAAAUAAAGAGAUAACUGGGCUUUAGUGGAUGCUGCAGAAUAGGGCUGCCUGGAGAAACAAGAUUUCAUGCAGCUCUAGAUUAAGCAGGCCAAGGACACAGCAACUUUACGGAGACUCGAUCACCUUUUACUUUUGUGUUAUGAAUCUUACCCUUCACUGAAUCGUCAAAUAAUGUCAGGAAAUUGUUAUUGAUUUGUAUCAUUGACUCCGAUAAAGAGAGAACAUGGUAUCCAUCAUUGUGUGAAAUUUCACAAAAGGUUCAUUUCAAAAUGAAAUCUAAAAUAUGAUACAAUUACAUUUUAAUGGGAAGCUAGAAGAAAGAGCAACUUGAAAUCAAUGGACUACUCAGAAAAAGUGCCACCUUCAGAUACUAAAACAGCACAACAGUUAGGGGGAAAAGAAAUAUUAAAAGAAUCUAUUUGUGUGAAAAGCUGAACAUAGCAAGUGAGCAGGCCAAGUUAAAACAGAUUUGAAAAAUACUAUUAACUCUUUGACCUAAAUUUUUCCAAUAAACUCUCACAAUAAAUAGAGGGAAUAUUGAAAUGUCAUUAAUUUGCUGUUCUUACAGAGAAAACAGUAAACCUAAUUCUUUGCCAGCAGGAAGAGCAAAUGCCCUACCUAACUAGGGGUGCUUAUUUGCUAUGAAACCCAAAGCAAUUUGUAUUCUGUUAUAUUGUCUACAAUUGACAUCAAAAGAACCACAUUGAAUCAGAAUUUCAUGGCUAAAAGGGAACACAGAGGUCACAUGAUUUGAUGUCUUUCUUCUUUCCAAUAUUUGGACUGGAUUACACUGUACUGUAUAAAUAUGUUCAGAGCUUAGUCACAUGGAACUGAAAGCUAGACAAUGACUAAGAUCACCCUUAAAUGAUUCAGGCUACUAAUCUUAAAUCCUAGCCUAUUUCCAAGAAGACAAACUUUAAAUAUUUGAAUAUUUUAAAAGCUAGAUUAACUAUUUGUAGGUAGAAUAUCUUUUUCAUUUGUUGUCGAUAAAAGAACAAAGUAGAACUGUACCUAGCUAGAAUCCUCAUGUAUAUUUUCAUAUCUUUAAAAGUACACUCAGAGAAAUCAGGUUAAAGCCAGCAUAAUAUUAGCAUCUUUUUUUUUCUGCAGAGGAUAAGAAAUGGGAUGGAGAAAGAUACAAGGAAGACAAAAGUUGCAUCUUCAUAAGCAAACAAACUUUAUAAGCAAACAAAAUGUUAACAUUAGUUAAUCCUGAGCUGUAUUUAGGUAUUUGUUUCUCUCUGUUUUAACUACUAGUUAGAAAUAUUUAAUAGUAAAUAUAUGCAAUACUCUUGUAUUAAAUAUUACCAUGUAUGUAUCUGUGCAAGUGUAUCUAUUUUUAUAUAUUGUGUAUGUAUAAAAUCCAUACUGAUUCACAGCAGAACAUCAAUGCAAGUCCACAGUUCCUUAUCUAAAGUCUUUGGGGCCAGAUGAGUUUUGAAAUGUGAAUAGCUCAGAGCUGAGAAUGGUAACGUAACACCGAGAGUGUUUAUUACAUGACACCCUCUGGGAGAUUGGGGGCAGCACUGUUUAAUCAAACCUAUCAUGAAAUCAGCUGCCUAAAGGCCUCACAGUGGUUCAGGGCAGCUUGGGUUUUGCCUCUAAACUCAUUUUUAAAAAGCUUAUUGCUUUCCAAAUUUAAUUUUCUAAAUUGCUGAUUGGAUAUUAUAGGGCUGUCAUGGCCUUCUUGAGAGUGAAAUGUGAGGGGAUUUUUUUUCUUAUUUUUCUUUUAUUCAUCUGUAGUUUCCAAAAUAAAUGUGUGCUGUAGCCAACUCAUAGGCAGAUUAAGUGGGGAGGCACAGAGGAAAAGUCUUAGCUUCUCUGGGGUGAAUUCAAUGUGACCGAGGCCUCGAAGGAACUCAGCAUUGAGGCUGAUUGGAAAGAAAAAGCAACACAAGGUGCUGAGCCACCAGCAGGGGGAUGAAGGGAGAGGGAAGAGCAGGGCUGGGUUAGAAACCCUCACACAUCCAUUGCAGCCAAAUCACAAAAUCUAACCAAACCACUGCCCAUCUACAAACUAGUUAAUAUGCCCCCAGAUAAUAAGGGAUAGUCUCCAUUUGCACUGCAAAGCAAAACCAUUACUAUAUCCAAAAAGGAGAACAUUAAAGAGAAAACAAAAUUGCAUUCACUGAAACUCUUCAGUAAUGGUGAUGGGUCCAUGAGAGCUUCCAGCUGUAGACAGAAAUGGCAUGUGUUUCAACUCAUAUUUCUAAAUUACUUACUACUAGAAAGGACAUUCUGUUUUCUUCUCAAUAUGUCAAUUAAUGACAAACUCUGAACGAUCUUCUUGGUGAGUUUCAUUCCAACUAAAAGCAAACUGAAUGAAAACAAUUUUCUAUAGAAUAUAAAUGCAGGAGGCAAAAGAUCAAAUUGUUCUGAUUUCAUUGCCCUGCUCCUUUCAAUGGAGAUUGACACCAAAAUGAUUCUAUGACCAGCCUUUGUGUCAAAUGCUUCCCAAUUAAGAGCUGCUAGUAUUCAUGAUGUCUUUGUCCAUUAAAUAUGAGAACAGAAUAAAUUGAUCUUUGAGAAGGGACGUUGGGGACCUUCACUGAGUAAAGAAGCCUUUAAUGAUCGAGCCUAGAGUUCUGAUCAAGCGGGAAUUCCCUUUUUAAAACAGAGAACACUAACAUUUAUUGAGUGUCUACUAUUUCCAGACAAUAUCCAAGGAAUAACUACAGCAAUAAAACAGCUAAAUUCUGUGUUUGUGCCAGAUUUGCUUCCAUGUGCUUUACAAGUAUACACCAUAUAAUCCUCACAAUAACUGUAUAAAGUAGAGAACAGUAAUUGAUUACAGUUGAUGCUUAUGCCCUAGUCUUCCUGCUUUCAUGGGGAGGCGGUUCACUGUAGUAACAUUGCUGUUACUUACCCCUCACUCCGUGGGAGGAGGAAGAUUUACCUGACUGUGAAGUUAGAAGAGUAACCUGGGGGAGCUCGAUUCAUCCUCUUCUCCCAUUCAACACCCACUAUUGGGAGCCAGCCUGUCCUCAGGAGGCAUGCACACUGAUAUUAUCUCUGGCUAAAGAUUUUAUUACUGUGCUUACCUUAAUUCACACCUUGACAGGUUCGGGGUACAUGUGAAGAUUUGUUACAUAGGCAAACACGUGUCACGGGGACUUGUACAGAUUAUUUCGUCACCCAGUGCUCAGUUCAGGAGUCAUCUCCUUCAACAAGGCAUCUCGAAUCCAUCUGAAUCACCUUCCAUCCCUCUUAAAGCAUCCUUCAUAACCGAUUGCAAUUCCUUGCUUAUCUACUUCAGCUACCAGACUGAGACCACCUCAAAGGCAGGGAUCGUGGCAUCCAUCUUUGUGC